RNAcentral lists this unclassified non-coding RNA (1076 nucleotides) under Hevea brasiliensis (rubber tree). The record is from RNAcentral. Lineage: Eukaryota; Viridiplantae; Streptophyta; Magnoliopsida; Malpighiales; Euphorbiaceae.
UCAACUUGCUUCCAAAAUUAACAUCUCCCCUUGAACUGCAAUCUCUUUCACUAGAUCCAGAUGAUCUCAAUCCAUCUCCCUCCAAAGCCUCCCUAUGAAACUUCAUUCUCUCAGCACUGGGUUCCUUUCUGCAUAUAUUUUCUCCAGGUCCGCCUUCAUCAUCAGACAAACUUUCAUCCUUUGGAGAAUCACUGUCAGAUGCCCAUCGUGACAUGGAUAUGUUCCGCGCCUCAGUAAACUCUUCCCCCUCCCCUUCAAAUUGUUCUUGGCUACCAUCCUUAUGCUUCUCUUCAGGAAUUUUAGGAAACAAAAUUGCUGGAGACUUAGGCUCAGAUCCAGUAGUAUCUACCAAUCCUCCUAUCACGCAAGGCUUAUCUGACACACAGUCCAACCCCAGGAGCUGAUUUACUGUGAAAGCAUGCUUUGCAACACCUGCAUCUAGAACAAUGUUUGGUCCCUGACAGUAAGCUCGCUGUGGAGAUGUAACAUUAGAUAAGGCAGGACUUGUUGGGAGAACUCUAUUUUUGGUUGCUACUUUGUCUUCUAUUUCCCAUAUAAUAGGGGAGAAUUUCCUUUUCUUCUCUGGUGGCAUCUGAAUCCCAUCAUCAGACUUUGGUAUCUCACCGUCCUCCAACCCUGAGGAAUGAUCAAGGCCAAUUCCACUUUGCAACUCACCCAACUCUCUCCCUUCAUCUCUGCAACUAAGUCCACUUCUUUGAAUACGAAAUUUCCGCGCAUUUGAGGAAAUAUGGUACCCAUUCUUAUAUACCACACCGUGCUCAACACCACGAUUGAACUCCACGCCAUGAGCACCGUUCCUAUAGCGAUCAAAAUAGUUAUUGGAGUAACCAUCACAACCCCUUCUUCUCGAAACAUCGACACGCCCUGCCGCCAUAUUGAUAAGAACCACAAUUUCUUCUCAAUAAAAAUUCAAGAUCAAUUGUAUAAAGCACUCAACCGAAAAUAUAUUUUUAAUUUUUUUUUAAUGCUUUCCCACCUUUUUUUUUUAAUGAUCAAUCCGAAUAAAACCCCUAGAUAUCAGCAAUAUAUCAACAAGAUAUCACAAAUUAGAUUCA